Molecule: microRNA precursor, 87 nt
Organism: Nicotiana attenuata
Lineage: Eukaryota; Viridiplantae; Streptophyta; Magnoliopsida; Solanales; Solanaceae
Rfam family: MIR6152 microRNA precursor family
Source: Rfam
AGGACAGAUUACUGUAUUCGACUGUAUUCACCAGGGGAUUACACUGUAUUUAAACGGAAAGUAAAUCAAUUAACAUAAUAGACUCCU